UAGCUCAGUUGGUUAGAGCGUGGUGCUAAUAACGCCAAGGUCACAGGUUCAAUCCCUUU
Molecule: transfer RNA, 59 nt
Filed under: Pelecanus crispus (Dalmatian pelican)
Lineage: Eukaryota; Metazoa; Chordata; Aves; Pelecaniformes; Pelecanidae
Rfam family: tRNA
About the family: Transfer RNA (tRNA) molecules are approximately 80 nucleotides in length. Their secondary structure includes four short double-helical elements and three loops (D, anti-codon, and T loops). Further hydrogen bonds mediate the characteristic L-shaped molecular structure. tRNAs have two regions of fundamental functional importance: the anti-codon, which is responsible for specific mRNA codon recognition, and the 3' end, to which the tRNAs corresponding amino acid is attached (by aminoacyl-tRNA synthetases). tRNAs cope with the degeneracy of the genetic code in two manners: having more than one tRNA (with a specific anti-codon) for a particular amino acid; and 'wobble' base-pairing, i.e. permitting non-standard base-pairing at the 3rd anti-codon position.
Source: Rfam by way of RNAcentral